AAUAUCCUCGUUCAACUGGCUCAUCAACAGGCUCAUAACUAAGAUCAUCUGUUAGUUGGAUACUUUGAGGAAGUGCUGAUAAAUGUUGAAGAUGGAUAGCCAGGUGAUCACUCCUUUUACCUUCCAAGUAUAACCGAAUUCCAGUUACCGGCCUGUUUUCAGAGUCUACCUGCAAACAUUAGCAAGAAGAAAGAAAGAAAAUUACACAGCUGCAACCUAUGACAAGGACAUUCCCUAAAUAACAGAUUAUCUGGUUAUGGUUACAUCAAUGUUCAACCCUGUAAGGUCUUAGAGGUGCUGAUUAUAGAAAACAAUCAAUAAAUAGUCACUAUUCUUGGGAAAUUUUUGUUUUUCAUUAAAAGCAAAAAGACGGUUGAAGCAUAGGUUAUCCUUCAGGGGAAGUAAAAAGGGUAGAUUAUCUUAAGUGCAUACACAAGAGUAGAGAUUAAGUAGGCUCUCUAGAAAUUGUUUGGUAGGGCACAAUCACCAAGUCAAGAAAAUGUUCGUCUCUGUUAAUCAAAAAUAGUUUUAAGGAGAAACAAUUUAAAAGUAUGCUACCAAAGCAUAAAACUCAUAAUAAAAAGCACCCUCUUUCUGAAUCUGGAAACUAGCAUGCCAAAACCAGUCUAUGCACACAUUUAAAAGGCAAUGAAAAAGAACUGCUCCUCCCUUUCAAGUGUUGGGAGAAAAGGUAAACUUCUUACUAUAACUAGGUCUCUCUGCUGAUCACCAAAACUUCAAAAUGUUGCUCUUCAAAAUCCAGAUAAAAAAGAAGAUUUCUUGAUGUUCUUGUUCAAACACAUGAAGAUUUACCUUUAUAGUGUUAACGUAUAACCUUGGACCCAUCAAAGUAAACUGCAAAGAUGGAGAGGAUUGUUUUCUGUGACGAUGACCAAGAGGAAGAUCACUAUAUGCUGGAGCCCACUGCCGAGGUAACUGAAAUUCUAAAAAUUGUUCAAGUUCCUCGAUUGGCGGUUUAUCUGCACAAAAAGAUCUUUGCUAUCAGAGAUAUGAAGCAGUUUUUAGUCAAGUAGCUCUAAAUGCAAGAAACUGAAAAUAAAGAUACAAUUGAUGACAUGAAAACGUUCAAUUGCUCAUCCUAAAACAUACAAGGAAGAUAUUCUUUUACAGAAGUUCCAUGCGUUUAAAUUGUGGGACGGCUUCACCGAAUAGGAGUGUAAUAAUCACUGCUCUGCGCCUAUGCGAAGGUCAAGCAACAAAUGGUAGAAUUCAUAACCCAGACCAUUCAGCAGAAGCUGGUGGCGGAAAUUGAGAUGCACACAUUGGAACAGGAAAAUUUCACCAAUCCAUUCUAUUUAACACAUUCCCCAAAAUGCUUGACCCAUUUUCGACAUGAUAGUGCAGGUGUGUAAAUUUGUUAGUAGUCCAGAACAUGAGGUGCUUCUUAGCAGAUUUUCUGUUCUUAUCAAUUUAGUGAUGCUUCUAGUUCUACUAUUCAAUAAACUAACGCACACAGCCUAUUCGUAUUCCAAUGCUUUCUCUUAUAUAUAUAUAUAUAUAUAUAUAUUUUUUCUUUUUNNNACAAUUUAAAUGUAAUUUACAUAUAAUUAAAAUACAACUUAAUACAAUAUAUAUAUAUAUAUAUAUAUAUAUAUAUAUAUAUAGAUAUAGAGAGAGAGAGAGAGAGAGAGAGAGAGAGAAGAAAUAAACAGUUCUACACCUACAUCGAUCACAACUGUCAAUUAAUUUUAUCGGGCUGAAAUGCUGCUCAACAAUCCAAAUAGAUAAGGAAGAACUCAAAGUAAAAGACCACUGGCAAGUGAUUUAUCAAUCUGUCUUCAUCAGGUAAACUAAGGCUCAGAGCUGAUCUCUAACAACAAGAUUUCAGCUCUCCGGCUCUGCAUAUUAUAUUCUUAUUUCCUUCUCAAAUUUCCAAUCCUUUAGUCUGUGGUUCUGGGGUUUGUUAUGUAGGUCAAGGGAGAACAGAAUCAGCUAGAUCUCAUUGAUAUUUGGAUACUCAUUCUAUUCACGGGAAUAUCCAAAAACCCAGGCACACACAACCAAGAGCACCAUCUCCACCACUAUAAUAAAGCAUUUAUUCCGAAAUAGACAUACUCACAUCGCAGGUAAAGAUUAAUUGCAUGGCUUAGAAAUCCACUGCCCCUUACACCACUCAAAAGUGAAGCAAUAGGCACAAAAGACAUUGAUAUGACAUUGGGGGACUGUGAUACAGUAGGAAGCCACUGGCUAUGACUUUGACCAAAAUCAAGACCUCCGCGACGGAUAUGAAUGCUUAGUAGAUCCUGCAUAAAGAAUUCAAAUCCAAAUCCUUCACAAAAAGCUUAUCAUCAGAGCAAAUAGUGAUUCAUUUAAGAGGGAACAAAACAAUCUUACAUCAGCUUUCGAGUGAGACAUAAUAGAUGGUCUUAUUGAGUUUGCAAAUGGUAGAUGAGGAUCUGAGAAUAUGGAUUUUUCCUCCUGUCAUACGUCAAAAAUUUGAAACUGCUGUCAGACGAUUUAUUUUGUUUAAUCUAUGUAAACAAUCCUGUCAUAUGUCAAAAAUUGAAACUGCUGUCAGACAGAUUUAUUUUGUUUAAUCUAUGUGAACAUAUAUGUAAUAAAGUUUUACUAUGACCAUAAUGUCAUCCAUUUUGCUUUUCUUGGAGAAAUCCAUGGGCACGACAUUAUUUACCUUUUAAGUCUGUUUGACUAACCCAUACAUAACUUUGUUCCUUCACAAUUUUGGGGCUUCUGGACUUAGUGGUUCAGUUAUAUUAACAAACAGUACAUUUUGAUCCCUUAACAUCAUUUUGCUUGUCCAGCUUUCUGUACUACACCCUCUUGAAAAGAUUAUAGUAGCAAAUAAAUGUUUCUACAAGAUUCUAAUUUAGCAUUACAUUGUAUCACUUGACAGAAUCAGUGUUGUAGGUUAGGGGCUCAUAGAGUGCUUCGUACGCCUCUCCCGGGGUUGGGUGUGGGACAGCAGGAUUAUCCAUUGAUGAUUUGUGUUUUAGCUUAUGUCCCCCUUAUGGUUGUUAGUAUGGUAAUUACUGUUUGUUAUUAUUGCAUGCGAUUGUAUUUAUGUUUCUUAUGUUUACAUAAUUAUUUACGUUAUUUCUGCGGGAUUUACUAAUGCUUUAUUGUUUUNNNNNNNNNNNNNNNNNNNNNNNNNNNNNNNNNNNNNNNNNNNNNNNNNGCCGAGGGUCGAUUGGAAACAGCCUCUCUGCUCUUUCGGGUAGGGGUAAGGCUCGUCUACAUAUUACCCUCCCCAGACCCCACCUGGUGGGAAUAUAUGUUGUUGUUGUUGUAUUGUAUCACUUGACAUUAUGCCGACCAUGACGCACUAUCGUUAAAAACUAUGAUUUUAAAAUGGGUUGCCUAUCCUCCUAAAUAUUUUGGAAGUGACAGAAUUAGUUUUGCAGGCAAAACACAUCCUCAAAUCAACAAGCAUUGCAGAAUAUCUAAGUUUGAGUGUAUAUUCAUAGUCAGGCCUUAAACAACUUCUUCCACAAUUAUAUGGUAAAACAAAAUGAAACGUUACAGAAUCUAGACAACAAACAUAAAAGGGAGUUGAACUAUUGAAUAAUAUAUAAGAUAUGUGAUACCUUUGGUUUUUCAGAAGAUUUAACAGAGUUUCGCAUCUGGCAUCCAUUUACGUCUUCUGAAAAUUUCUCAUCAGCUAAUUGCUUAAGUAAUUUCUGCACCUCCAUUGGCUGAAGAGUUGAAUUCUGCAGCUGCUUUAUGUGAAUUACAUCCUUGCCUCCCAUCUUUACCCCGACAACAAUAUGGGUGCCAUAUUUUUCGAUGAACCUGAAAAAUCAUGUUAUCGGCCUCAUAGUUAAUAAUUUUCUACCAUUUUCAACAUUAGUUUACAAAAGCAAAGUCAAUAGCAAGUUGUGUUCCUUCAUGAACCAGCCUCGUAAUAAAUUUUCUACCAUUUUCAAUUUUAGUUUACAAAAGCAAAGUCAAUAGCAAGUUGUGUUCCUUCACGAACCAAAAGAAGGGGUAGAAGGUCAGAGUGAAGGAGAUAAAAUCAAAAUCAAAUGCACUAAAAACAAAAAAUUUAAACAACUGUCUUAAGAUAACAAAAAUACUGCUGUUUCUGAGUCAAAAUUUCAGUGCCAUAAUGAUUCUCCUAGAGUUCAUAGGUCAUUCUUUUUCCAUUCCCUUAUAAAUUCACUACUUCUACUGGAUAGGAAAGGCGGAAAGCAUUGCCAGUGGUUUUGGAUAGAAACAGAUAGGAUAGAAUUUUCUCCUUCUUCGACUUACAUAGGAGGAUAGGAAAGAAAUCAAACCAAGAAACAAAAACAUUCCUCUCAUAAUAUCCUAUUGUAGUUCACCAAACAAAAGAAACAAUCUAAACUCUCUAACUCUCUCUCUCUCUCUCUCUCUCUCUCUCUAAAGAAAUCAAACCAAGAAACAAAAACAUUCCUCUCAUACUAUCCUAUUGUAGUUCACCAAACAAAAGGAACAAUAUAAACUCUCUAACUCUCUCUCUCUCUCUCUCUCUCUCUCUCUCUCCUUUUGAUCUUCUAUUCUUUUCCUUCCUUUCCUUAGUUUCCACUCAAACACUAAACGCUCAAUUACAAUACGGGAAAAAUGCUUUUGUAUGAAAAACUUGCAGGCGUGUUAGUUCAGAACUUCCCAAUUCCAAUUCCUCCUACAUCCAAUUUCAUAGAGGAGCAUGUACCAGAUUUCCUUGAGAUUUUGAACGUACACAGAUUUGCAUUUAUACUAUCCUGAUGGACAACAAAAUUGUUAUUCAAAUAACAAUUGAGCGAAAGGUCUUACUCUGCAAGCGCAGAAGGAUCCCACGAAGAAGGCACAUCUUGCUUCACUUGCUCAGAUAGUGUUAGAUGGGAUCUCACUAACUCAAUAUUGUACAAGGUAAUAAACCAACCAUCAAAGGCAAGAAGCUUUGUCGAUGCUGCAUCCUUUUGCCAGCAUCCCUUAUGACCAAACAUCGCAUUAAACAAACCAGAAGGUAUCUUACCAGACAAAGAUAACUCCUGAUUCAAUUGUUCUGACAUCUGAAUGCAAUAAGCAGACGAUAGGGCCGAGAGAUUAGUAAGAAAUGCACAUCGAAGUAGAAAACACUAGAUUGAAUUAUCAAAAAAACACAUACUUCAUUGAGUUUUGCGAACAAGUUUCAACACUAAUCUAAUAGGCACCAAAAAGUCAUUUUACCGAACAGUUAUUAGAUAGAAAGCAUGAUGAUAGCUCAUAGACAAUGGAGAAAAGAACUAACAAUCCAGCGUAGGAAAAGAGAAGAUACCUCUUAAAUUAUUCAAGAGAAAGAAAAAAAAAUAAGGAAAGCACUCCGCAAUCAGCAUAGGUAAAACACGAGCAUCUCACUUAGCAACUCCAAUUUCAACCAUCAAUUUAUUACUGCGGGAUUCCAACUGAUGACGAAUCUACCCAAUUGAUAGAAAUAGAAAGAGUAUGUGCAAUUUCAAUACUUUCCUUAAGCAUUCUAAUUGGAUUAGACGAAUAUGAAUGGAUCCUUAAACCAGUCAUUCAUUGAGCGAUAAGUAACAACAAGUGACAGAGGAUGACGAUUUAGAUAACACAAACAUCCAAUAUUUAAAAAUUGAAUCUAAUCCUAGAAGGAACGUCACGGUGUAACUACACAAUGAGAAUGUCUAUAAACCCCAUACUCAAGCAGUUAUUGUAUCCGCAAACAAGUUGACUGGCCCUGCUCUUGCUACAGCAUUUGCGCGUUUAAAUGCUAUUAUCGUACUAUCAAGCUGAUUAGCUGUCAAAGGUAUUUUAUCCAGCAGUAAAAGGACUGACAAAGUUCCAGAAGCCAAAGAGAUUGAUGUACUUAGUUGUCAUACAAUAACCAAUACUUCAAGAAGUCCAAUUUAAUGGCCAAAUCACAGCAGAUACCUUCACAUGCAACUCCGCAAACCAGGCAAAACUUCAUCCAGUAGUAGAUAGCUCAACGCCUCUAUCCAAAUUGUGAUUAAUUGACCAGAAUUUCCCUAGUACCUACAUUACUUUUUCUUCAAGUAUGAGACUUGAAAUAGCAACACCAAUAAUUCUUUUUCGUUUUGUACGCAUAAGCCAAUUAUCUAGAAAAAAUUAAUUUAACCUUCCAAAAUCAACUAGAUAGGAAGAAAUUCAGAAAAAGAUUCAAUUUUUUUUUCAUUUUCAAGCAAAUUAAAUUUUCCAGAAAUGAAAUUCAGGCAAACCAUCAAAUGAACUGAUAAAAAGUACAAGCUCUUCACUAUCAAUUUUACUCUUUUGUAGCAAAUCAACAGCAAUAGUAAAAAUUCAGUUACCCAAUUCCCUUAUAGGCUAUAGCAACCAUACCAGUAUUAAACAACAACAACAACAACUACUGACCAGUAUAGUACCAUAAAGUGGGGUCUGGGAGGGUAAUCCUUAUCCCUACCGAAAGGUGGCUGUUUCCAAUCGACCUCGGCUUAGCGAAGGAAAGUAAAAAUAAAAACAAAGACAAAAAGCAUACCAGUAUUAAACGGUUAAAAGAAAAAAAAAUUAUAUGAAAAGACAAGUGGAGAAAAAAGCUGAAAGAAGAAAUUACCUGACUAAAAGAGAGAGCAUCAGAGCGAAACCUAGUUCGUUCACCUUUAUCGCACUUGAUUGAAGUCGAAACCUUUGAAACCACCACCCCACCUGGCACCAUUAGGUCCUUGGUCAACUUCUGAUCAACCUCUAUCAAACCCGACCCGCUUGGACCGGGUUUACACGCAGUCAACCGGAUAUCACUCGUCAAAUCAUAACCGAACCCGAUCACUGAGACAGGCACCACUAGGUCCUUGGUCGACUUCUGAUCAACCUCUAUCAAACACAACCCGCUUGGACCGGCUUUACACGCCGUCAACCGGAUAUCGCUCGUCAAAUCAUAACCGAACCCGAUCACUGAGACGGCUUUUUCUGCUGCCGUUUGUGGGUCCAUUCUA
RNAcentral lists this long non-coding RNA (6887 nucleotides) under Nicotiana benthamiana. RNAcentral describes it as "long non-coding RNA (NBEN_LNC010003)". The record is from RNAcentral. Lineage: Eukaryota; Viridiplantae; Streptophyta; Magnoliopsida; Solanales; Solanaceae.